AUGGCCAUACCAUGUUGAAUAUACCGGUUCUCGUUAGAUCACCGAAGUCAAGCAUCAUUGGGCGCGGUCAGUACUUGGGUGGGUGACCACCUGGGAACACCGCGUGCCGUU
This 111-nucleotide ribosomal RNA is filed under the name Caerostris extrusa. Lineage: Eukaryota; Metazoa; Arthropoda; Arachnida; Araneae; Araneidae. The record is from RNAcentral.